Molecule: ribosomal RNA, 244 nt
Filed under: uncultured bacterium
Lineage: Bacteria
Description: partial 16S ribosomal RNA
Rfam family: Bacterial small subunit ribosomal RNA
Source: RNAcentral
UAGGGGGCAAGCGUUAUCCGGAUUUACUGGGUGUAAAGGGUGCGUAGGUGGCAGGGCAAGUCAGAUGUGAAAGCCCGGGGCCCAACCCCGGUACUGCAUUUGAAACUGUCCGGCUGGAGUGCAGGAGAGGUAAGCGGAAUUCCUAGUGUAGCGGUGAAAUGCGUAGAUAUUAGGAGGAACACCAGUGGCGAAGGCGGCUUACUGAACUGUAACUGACACUGAGGCACGAAAGCGUGGGGAGCAA